GGGAGUGCAAAGGUUUCGACGGGGUUAUCGGGUCAUAGGUAGCAGGUCAGGCUGGUCGCUGUGAAAGACCGACUCAUCGUUUAGAUGGAAACAGAAAUUACGCUUUAGCUGCUUAAUUGUCAGCUCACCCCUCUUCGCUUCUUCUGUAUGAGCGUGGAAUCCGGGUGUCACCCAAGUACAGAUUACUUUUUGUGAUUUCUCUAAGCAAGGAGGAAAUAUAGAGGAUAGCUUUUGUUAGCCCUGUUUGCGGAGUAACAUCUGCGAAAUAUAGUAGCAAACUAAGCUUGUAGAGGCUUAUGGUUACUUUAAUUUCGGACGCGGGUUCGAUUCCCGCCACUUCCACCA
Molecule: transfer-messenger RNA, 345 nt
Filed under: Fusobacterium necrophorum subsp. necrophorum
Lineage: Bacteria; Fusobacteriati; Fusobacteriota; Fusobacteriia; Fusobacteriales; Fusobacteriaceae
Also listed under: 1 other name
Description: transfer-messenger RNA, SsrA
Rfam family: transfer-messenger RNA
About the family: Bacterial tmRNA, also known as 10Sa RNA or SsrA, is named for its dual tRNA and mRNA-like properties.
Source: RNAcentral